This 582-nucleotide long non-coding RNA is filed under the name Monodelphis domestica (gray short-tailed opossum). RNAcentral describes it as "lncRNA (ENSMODG00000032536.2)". Lineage: Eukaryota; Metazoa; Chordata; Mammalia; Didelphimorphia; Didelphidae. The record is from RNAcentral.
AUGUGAACUAAGAAUGGACAGUCCUGGGGAAAACGUCUGCUGUGAUUGGUAGAUGUGAAAAUUUAGGGGAGGUGACAUAGGAGAAAUUUCUCUUUAAAAGGAGCUGGCUCUCUGAACUUAGUUGGAGUUCAGACUAGUUGGAGUUCGUAGUUCAGUUUGGGAGUUCGCCAUGGAGGUUGGAGUAUGGAGUUAGUUUGGAGGAGCUGGGUCUCUGAACUCAGUUCAGGAGUUGAGGAUUUCAGUGAAGCACUGGAGUUUUGCUUGGGACAAAUCUUGUGCUCGUUUUUACAGAAAAUUGAGGUAGCAGAAUUAAGUGACUUGGCCAGGUCACACUGCUAGUAAGUGUCUGAGACCAGAUUUGAACUCAGGAAAAUGAGUCUUCCUGACUCCAUGCAUGGUGCUCCGUCCACUCUAUCACCUCACUGCCCAGUGUGACUACUUAGGGCUGACUUCCAGGGACGACUUAGGAGCAUUUGUUGGAAAGAGGGGCCCAGAACUUUGCAUGCAAUUGUUGAACUAAAGGUAAAGGUCAAGCCUUGGAUUCUUGUCAUGAAAAAUUUAAAUGGAUCAAUUUAUUCCCUG